Long non-coding RNA from Gavialis gangeticus (Gharial), 1627 nucleotides. RefSeq lists it as uncharacterized. Lineage: Eukaryota; Metazoa; Chordata; Crocodylia; Gavialidae. The transcript is spliced from 4 exons. The record is from RefSeq and is a predicted model, not a curated record.
GUUAACGUCAUGUGUAGAUGCACCCACUAACAUCUUGCAGCAGUUUCACCCUGCUUCUAUUCCUCAAGGCUUCUAUUCUAGUGAAUAAAGAUGAGCUUCCCUGCGUAAGACAUGUGCCCAAUUUUGGAGGACUAAUUUGGGAAGAAAGGUGCAUUUGGUCACAUCUGGAAGCUUCAAGUAAGAUUGGGUAAUGCACCGUAUAAAUGCAUUCUGAGAAACCCUGCAAUAAAGAAUUCAGAAGUUGGUCUUCACCCAUAACAGGAUAGUUGACUGAUUCCUGGGAGGGCUCCCCUCCGGGAAAAAGUAGUACAAUGGCAAUGGCUACAAGUCAAGCAUCAGAGAAAUGCUGUCAUCUUUCAACCUCCACUGAAAAGGUCCAUUAUCACCAGCCUCUCCAUACAAGAAGUAAAAGGUAAAUCACAAUGAAGUAAUUUAUCAGCGUGGGAAGAAUCCCACUGAGAAUUGACUUAUAAAAUGAAAACUGAAGACUACUUUGACUACAGCUACUCUUCUGUACUUAAAUUGUCCUUCUUGCAUCAUUUAUUCUGAACACAUUUUCAAGGCAGAUGGAAACUAACUGAUGAGUAGGUCUAUGAGUAUCAAGAGGGUAGACGGAUUGACAUUUUAAAGGUAAACAUCAAGACUUUUCAUCCGGAAGAUGCAAUGGCUGCUACAGAUGCUGAUAUAACUUCUGACAGAUAGUGACAAGUGGUAAGUAAUGUCAGUUCAAGAUGAGAAGCUACAAUGCAGUGAAAAGCGAUCCACUGAACGUGAAUCCCGGAGCACCGAGACUGUACCCAAGAGCCCUGAUCUUCCUAUUUGGAUGAUGACUGACCUAAAUGCCACAAAUGAUGCUAUAUGAUCAAACUGAUAAUAAACAUUAAACAAAAGAGUUGCUUCAUAAGUUAUAGGAGCUGAUUUAAACUCCAGGUAGCUAGUAACAGCCCCCAAGAAACUAUCUACUACCUGGAGAAAACUGGAGUGCAUUAUACUCCAGCCAACUAUCAAACAUAAACUCUUCUACAUCAGAACUACUUGGUGGGAUAGGAAUAGUGUAGGAGCUGCUUUUGUUGGCUGUAUGCCUGCUAGAGAGUCACCACACCUGGGGAAUAUCCAAUUAAAGAACUGUGGACAGCCUGUGCUCUCUUUUUUACCAGCAGAGAAGAGAAGCCAGGUUCUAUAUUAGUAAGAAGGACACUUUAAUUUUGUAGUUUGGUUCCAUUAUGUCUAUUUCAGUACCACAAGUAUGACAACUUUCUUUGACAAGUUCAAGAAUAGGUAUCUGGUUAGUGUAACCUUGAAUAAGACAUGUAACAUCAACUGCUGCAUUGAUCUUCCACCACUAUCAGCUGAUUAACCAGCCAAAACUUUGGUUUGAAAUAAGCCCCCCAAAUUUCCAAAUGUUUGACCCAUAUCUAAAUAGAAUAGUUUACAUUCGUGGUACUUCCAUGCCAGGCAAAUCCAAGAAGUUCAGAGAUUCAGAGAAGUAAAACAAAAUCAAAACAAAGGAAACUGCACUCUCAUGAGUUAUUUGAAAAAGAGUCUAGAUUUUGUCCAGUUUCAAAGCUCAAAUCAGUUCUUAAUUUAUAAGCAUUAUUUUCUCCAUGCCAAUAAAUACAUAAACAUA